CGCCCUUAGAGUUUGAUCCUGGCUCAGGAUGAACGCUGGCGGCGUGCCUAACACAUGCAAGUCGAAGGGACUCAUAUUGAAACCUAGUGAUUUAUGAGUUAGUGGCGGACGGGUGAGUAACGCGUGGAAAACCUGCCGUAUACCGGGGGAUAACACUUAAAAAUAGGUGCUAAUACCGCAUAAGCGCACAGCUUCGCAUGAAGCAGUGUGAAAAACUCCGGUGGUAUAUGAUGGUUCCGCGUCUGAUUAGCUAGUUGGCGGGGUAACGGCCCACCAAGGCAGCGAUCAGUAGCCGGCCUGAGAGGGUGAACGGCCACAUUGGGACUGAGACACGGCCCAAACUCCUACGGGAGGCAGCAGUGGGGAAUAUUGCACGGUGGGGGAAACCCUGAUGCAGCGACGCCGCGUGAGUGAAGAAUUAUUUCGGUACGUAAAGCUCUAUCAGCAGGGAAGAAGAUGACGGUACCUGACUAAGACGCCCCGGCUAACUACGUGCCAGCAGCCGCGGUAAUACGUAGGGGGCAAGCGUUAUCCGGAUUUACUGGGUGUAAAGGGAGCGUAGACGGCAGCGCAAGUCUGGAGUGAAAUGCCGGGGCCCCAACCCCCGGAACUGUUUUGGAAACCUGUGCAGCUUGAGUGGCGGGGGAAGGUAAUUGUAAUUUCCUAGUGUACCGGUGAAAUGCGAAAUAUUAAGGAAGCAACCCUUUUGGCGAAGG
Molecule: ribosomal RNA, 716 nt
Filed under: uncultured bacterium
Lineage: Bacteria
Description: bacterial SSU rRNA
Rfam family: Bacterial small subunit ribosomal RNA
Source: RNAcentral